RNAcentral lists this ribosomal RNA (466 nucleotides) under uncultured bacterium. Its description in RNAcentral is "bacterial SSU rRNA". It matches the Rfam family "Bacterial small subunit ribosomal RNA", at positions 28 to 507 of the family's 1533-position model. The record is from RNAcentral.
GACGAACGCUGGCGGCGCGCCUAACACAUGCAAGUCGAACGAGAGAGAAGGAGCUUGCUUCUUCGAUCGAGUGGCGAACGGGUGAGUAACGCGUGAGGAACCUGCCUCAAAGAGGGGGACAACAGUUGGAAACGACUGCUAAUACCGCAUAAGCCCACGGGUCGGCAUCGACCAGAGGGAAAAGGAGCAAUCCGCUUUGAGAUGGCCUCGCGUCCGAUUAGCUAGUUGGUGAGGUAACGGCCCACCAAGGCGACGAUCGGUAGCCGGACUGAGAGGUUGAACGGCCACAUUGGGACUGAGACACGGCCCAGACUCCUACGGGAGGCAGCAGUGGGGAAUAUUGCACAAUGGGGGAAACCCUGAUGCAGCGACGCCGCGUGGAGGAAGAAGGUCUUCGGAUUGUAAACUCCUGUUGUUGAGGAAGAUAAUGACGGUACUCAACAAGGAAGCCACGGCUAACUACGUG